CCUGCACAGAGCUGUUUCUGCUACUGUCUUCACAUACAACAUAGGGCUUGGAGCAGUUGGUGCUUCUUUACAACACUUCUGAGGCCAUCUUUAGUCCCCAACUUCUAAUAGGUACUAGGGAGAAGAGAAUGUCUAGAAAUGGUUUUACAGCUCUAUGAAGAAUGAUAGAAAAUUCAAUUGCUACCCGAAGACUAGCAAGCUAAUAGCUGUGGCUUGUCAUCAAGCCCAUCAAUAAUAUCAGAUUUGGAAACAAGGAAGGACAAUGGUUCCUGGCUGAUGGAAGACACAUGCCUUAAAGAGCACAUCUUGCAAAAAAAAAAAAAAAAGUACUAGAGAAAAUAUCAU
RNAcentral lists this long non-coding RNA (345 nucleotides) under Anas platyrhynchos platyrhynchos (common mallard). Its description in RNAcentral is "lncRNA (ENSAPLG00000023378.1)". The record is from RNAcentral. Lineage: Eukaryota; Metazoa; Chordata; Aves; Anseriformes; Anatidae.